GUGAUUCGUGUUUUUGUAAUUGGAAUUGUAGUGGUGACCUACGUUAGGUCUCACGCUUCGAAACUGCAAUAUCUUUGAUCGAUCGAUUUAUAAAUUAGUUUAAUUUAUUAGGAGAACGCAAAUACAUCCUGAGUAUUGGAUUACUACAAAAAUCGUUUAUUACGUGCUGUUUACUUAAGGGAAUCGCCGAGGGUUACGCAAGGCCGACGCGAGGUGGUCGCGGACUGUGAGGGGCAGAGUGGUGGGGCGGGGCGGGCGGUGAAAGGGUUUGGGCGGGGCGGCAUGCGCGGCGCCGCCCACUGCGCAUUUCACCACCGCAGCCGACGACGCUCCGCCACGAGCCUCGUGCGUCCUACUUCCCUCGGCAGGACUUGCAAGCGCGGCGCGAGACGCUGCGAGACGCGGUAGAGGCGCAGUAUCCAAGCGCGUUUGUUCCGGCUCCGGAAUAUUCCGGUCCUCCUUGAGCCGCACCGCUGAAUACGGGCCCGAUCGCAAUCUUUUAGAUCAUCGCAUAUAUUAUACGAAUAUAGCUUGUAAAUAUAUUA
Papilio xuthus (Asian swallowtail) is the source of this 545-nucleotide long non-coding RNA. RefSeq lists it as uncharacterized. The transcript is spliced from 3 exons. Lineage: Eukaryota; Metazoa; Arthropoda; Insecta; Lepidoptera; Papilionidae. The record is from RefSeq and is a predicted model, not a curated record.